UUCUCCUACGGGAGGCAGCAGUAGGGAAUCUUCCACAAUGGACGAAAGUCUGAUGGAGCAAUGCCGCGUGAGUGAAGAAGGGUUUCGGCUCGUAAAACUCUGUUGUUAAAGAAGAACACCUUUGAGAGUAACUGUUCAAGGGUUGACGGUAUUUAACCAGAAAGCCACGGCUAACUACGUGCCAGCAGCCGCGGUAAUA
Molecule: ribosomal RNA, 199 nt
Filed under: uncultured bacterium
Lineage: Bacteria
Description: partial 16S ribosomal RNA
Rfam family: Bacterial small subunit ribosomal RNA
Source: RNAcentral